UACGUAGGUGGCAAGCGUUGUCCGGAAUUAUUGGGCGUAAAGCGCGCGCAGGCGGUCCUUUAAGUCUGCUGUGAAAGCCCACGGCUCAACCGUGGAGAGUCAUUGGAAACUGGGGGACUUGAGUACAGAAGAGAAGAGUGGAAUUCCACGUGUAGCGGUGAAAUGCGUAGAGAUGUGGAGGAACACCAGUGGCGAAGGCGACUCUUUGGUCUGUAACUGACGCUGAGGCGCGAAAGCGUGGGGAGCAAACAGG
Molecule: ribosomal RNA, 253 nt
Filed under: uncultured bacterium
Lineage: Bacteria
Description: partial 16S ribosomal RNA
Rfam family: Bacterial small subunit ribosomal RNA
Source: RNAcentral